GACGAACGCUGGCGGCGUGCUUAACACAUGCAAGUCGAACGGAAAGGCCCUGCUUUUGUGGGGUGCUCGAGUGGCGAACGGGUGAGUAACACGUGAGUAACCUGCCCUUGACUUUGGGAUAACUUCAGGAAACUGGGGCUAAUACCGGAUAGGAGCUCCUGCUGCAUGGUGGGGGUUGGAAAGUUUCGGCGGUUGGGGAUGGACUCGCGGCUUAUCAGCUUGUUGGUGGGGUAGUGGCUUACCAAGGCUUUGACGGGUAGCCGGCCUGAGAGGGUGACCGGCCACAUGGGGACUGGGAUACGGCCCAGACUCCUACGGGAGGCAGCGGUGGGGAAUAUUGCCCAAGGGGCGGAGGCAGGUUGCAGCAACGCCGCGUGCGGGAUGACGGCCUUCGGGUGGUAAACCGCUUUCGCCUGUGACGAAGCGUGAGUGACGGUAAUGGGGAAAGAAGCACCGGCUAACUACGU
RNAcentral lists this ribosomal RNA (467 nucleotides) under uncultured bacterium. Its description in RNAcentral is "partial 16S ribosomal RNA". It matches the Rfam family "Bacterial small subunit ribosomal RNA", at positions 28 to 506 of the family's 1533-position model. The record is from RNAcentral.